AUCAGUAAGCGGAGGAAAAGAAACUAACAAGGAUUCCCUUAGUAGCGGCGAGCGAACAGGGAAGAGCUCAGCACCGAACCUCGCGCCCGGCAAAGCGGACGCAGAGGAAUGUGGUGUUUGGGAGAACCGUGCGUGUCUGUCCGGUAUAUUCAUCCAAGUCUCCAUGAACGGGGCGAGCAACCCACAGAGGGUGUCAGGCCCGUAGACCAGAUGAGCCGAGACCGUACAUCGGGUUCCUUCCUAAGAGUCGGGUUGCUUGAGCGUGCAGCCCUAAGCGGGAGGUAAACUCCUUCUAAAGCUAAAUACCGCCACGAGACCGAUAGCGAACAAGUACCGCGAGGGAAAGUUGAAAAGAACUUUGAAGAGAGAGUUCAAUAGUGCGUGAAACCGUUCAGGGGGUUAAACGGGUGGGCCCUCGAAGGUCGAACGUGCGUCCGCUCCCGGCACCUUGUAGCAUGCCCUUUGGACUGGCGAGGCCCGUAAGGGUCUGUACCGUCUGAGGAUCGCAUUAGCCGCGCAAGGGUCCGCUAGUGGGAUGCCUAGUAGGACUCCGCGACCGGUUGGGUGAGUCGUCAUGAGGGGCGUUCGUUAGCCUUUCGUCGAGUUUCGGCUCGAUGGUUGUGCGCGGCGUCUGCGGACGAUCCUGCCCGACCGUGACCUGUCGCCGUGGUGUAAAACCCCGGCCCAGAGCGGAGAGUAGAAGUCGGGUCCCACCCGACCCGUCUUGAAACACGGACCAAGGAGUCUAACAUGUGCGCAAGUCGUCGAGUCUAACUAAACUCGCGAGGCGUAGUGAAAGCAAAGCUCGGCCCCGAUGAGGGUGGCGGCGAGGGGAGAUCCCGUCUCGAAUAGAGCGGGCGCAUCCCCAGGGCGUUCGAUGCCGCGACUUUUAAGCCGGCCGAACGAACCCAGAGCGUACACGUUGGGACCCGAAAGAUGGUGACCUAUGCCUGGCCAGGUCGAAGCCAGGGGAAACCCUGGUGGAGGACCGCAGCGAUUCUGACGUGCAAAUCGANCGUCGGAGUUGGGUAUAGGGGCGAAAGACUAAUCGAACCANCUAGUAGCUGU
Molecule: ribosomal RNA, 1068 nt
Filed under: Chydorus sphaericus
Lineage: Eukaryota; Metazoa; Arthropoda; Branchiopoda; Diplostraca; Chydoridae
Description: partial 28S ribosomal RNA
Rfam family: Eukaryotic large subunit ribosomal RNA
Source: RNAcentral